GUGGGGUCGUAGCUCAGCGGUAGAGCGCUUGCCUACCAUAUGUGAGGCAUCGUGUUCAGCAGGCACCGGGUUCAAUUCUCAGUGCCACA
RNAcentral lists this transfer RNA (89 nucleotides) under Marmota monax (woodchuck). RNAcentral describes it as "tRNA.Gly". Lineage: Eukaryota; Metazoa; Chordata; Mammalia; Rodentia; Sciuridae. The record is from RNAcentral.